Molecule: unclassified non-coding RNA, 19 nt
Filed under: Mus musculus (house mouse)
Lineage: Eukaryota; Metazoa; Chordata; Mammalia; Rodentia; Muridae
Description: oocyte_clustered_small_RNA12783
Source: RNAcentral
UAGCCAAGACACCAGACCA